CCUAGUUUCCCUCAACUUCAAAGUGACCUUCAGAUUUCAUCACCUCUGUUCUAAAUUGAGUGUUUAUUGAAUGUUAGUGAAAGCUUCGCUGACAGGAAAUGCAGAGCUGUAAUUCAGAGUUUGGGGAAUGUGUGUGUUUCCUUAAUUUCCUUCUUGUCUGUCUGUUCAGGCUUCUCCGUCUGUGUUCGUCUGUGAAUGUUUGUGUUGGGUAAUAAUGGAGUUUCCCACAGUCUUACAGACAGUAUUAGUAGUAAGAUUGAAUCAUAUCUGAUGGGAAUUCAGUAAUCCUGCUGCCUGUCCACGGACUCUAAGGUCACCUCUCUGUGCUGAGGAAAUGAGGUGGAGCCCUUGAAUAUUGGCUUUUGUUUGUGUGUGAGCUACAGAUUUAAGUCCUGUCGCACACUGACCUGUAACAAUUUGCAGUUGCACAUCAGUUGAGUCUGUUUCUUGCGUCUUUUAGUCAUUUAGACAUAGUUUUGAUGAGUUGUGUUGACUUAAUAAUGUUGAUAAUUACGUUAACUCAAUAUUGUGAAUUUGCACUAAAUUAUCCUUGUUAAUUGUUUAAAAACAAAAUUCAAAAUCAUAAUAAGUCAAUUAGAUUAGUUUGGUAACUUACUUUUUCUAGUUUUUGUUUGUCUUUGAACUGGAAACUGCUAUAAUUUGCAGUUUCACAUGAGCAGAGUCAGUUUUUUGUGUCUUUUUGUUAGUUUUUAAACUCGUCUGCAGCUUUGUCCACUGCCUUUGAUCUCACCAACUAUGUAUUUAAAAUUUCUAAGACCUUUAGCCUAAACUUGAGAAUGUGAAAGUGAAGUCAAUCGGUGUUUCCCAAAUCCAUGGUUUACCAUUACGUCACUGAAAGAAGCUCAGAGAUGGUAAUCUGAUGUCAGAAACUGAGAUAUUUCUCAUCACGAGGGCGACUGUUUUCACUUUUGAUUAGCUUCUCGAAUAAUCAGUUAGUUGUUUGGUCAAUGAGAUGUCAGUUGUUUCCCAAAGCCCAAGAUUUUUUUUUAACUCAAACAUAUUCAGUUUACUGUCAUAGAGGAAGAAGAAAUAAGAAAGUAUUCACAUUUAAGAAUCUGAAAUCAGAGGAUUUUGACUAAAGGAAGCUCUUGACUUGGCACUAAGUGAUUUUUAAAAUCAAUGGAUAUGUUACAUAAUUAAAUACAUGGUUGUAAGAUUAAAAAAAAGUAUAUAUCUAUUGAUUUAUAUAAACCACUGAAGUUGCAAAUAUUGAUUUUGAUGAGUUGACAUAAGUGCACAAGGUCAAAUAUUGGGUGUAACUUAAACUCAGCUAUCUGUGGCAAUUGAUUUCAAACAAAGUUCGAGUUUAGUAAGUUCAUUAAAUUGGCUUGAUAACCUAACUAAGUCCUUUAUAACCCAAAAACACAUGUUUAUGCUACCAAUUAUUAUGCAUCAGUGACUGUAGAGGAGAGACUAAUUCCUCAAACUCAAUAUAGUUUGCUGGUUGAGCAUAAUUUCUCUAGAAGUUGUCGUAACUCAAAAAGACUGAUGCUUGCUGCUUUUUGUUGAGUCCAAACAUUUGUUUUCAUGAGGCACUGUACAGUUAUGGCCUAUAUCUGUCAGUGGGAGGCGACUGGGAUCAUGUCCCAGCUCGCUUUUUUGCUCUGAAAACACUCGGAGAGAAAAAAGGGGCCCCGCAGGCCUCACAUUGGUUCGUAUCUUUGACGUGGACGGCAGCCAUGAAGUCAAACCGUAGGCAAAUGAAGUUAGUCUCUGAGCCGAGACGUGGCUCCAUCACCCGGAGACUCUUCAACCCCGAUGCAGAGUAGAUUUAAAUCAGCGGACGGGGGAGGUUUCAACCCGUCUUGGGAUGACCGAUCCAAACUCUGCCCCAGAAAGUCGGUUAAAGAGGCGAUCGGAGGCAUCUCCCCGAGUCUGUCUGUCAGAGCGCAUUCUUGCCUUCACCUGAAUUAAACGAAACCACGCAGUCAGAGCUGCAGGCCGGGACAUGUUUAAUGGCCAUAAACUGAAACUAGGCUAGUUUCUCCCCAUAGACACAGAAGAAGUAGCUCCUCUCUUCGUUCUUUCUUUCCUUUCCUUCUCCAUCUCUUUAUCUCUCUGACACAGAUGCUGAUACGAUCUGUUUGGGGACUCGCAAUUUCAUACUCUGUUGUUUUUCCUUGUUGCCUGCAAAGCUCGGAUGUCUGCGAGAUGGCGAGCACAAAGGCGAGCUGUGUGCAGAGGCAGAUAUGAUUUUAUGACUCCUUGCAUUAAGAGCAGUCGAACUUUGAUGAAGUAUUUAAUAUUUCUGUGUUUGCGCCGCUCAUGCAAAGUGUCAACAGCUGCAGUAUUUUACUCUGCGCCCACUCGGAGCCUUUCAAUCCGAGCUGUAAAUUACCAGGAGGUUUUAGUCGUGGUCCUUGUGGGAAACAGCAGGGGCCCGAACACUCGGAUUCAAUGCUGCUAUUGUGCUGCUCUGCUACAUGAAGGGGUUUGUGUGUCUGUGUGGGUGUGUUGGGGGGUUUUGUCGAUGACUGUCUUUACAAGCCGGACCCUGAACACAACAAAUCAGGACCAAGACAUCCUGAGCAUGCCUCGUGCCCUCAGUGUUGUCUUACAGGCACCAGCUACUGUUUUCUCUUGGAUUUUCUGGCUCUUUCUUUCUUUUUCUUUUUUUUUUUAACCUUAAUUUUGUCGCUCGUUUUCCAAAUCUGGGCAUUAAACCAAAAAGUUGUCACCAGCUCCUUACUGAGAUUCAUAGUCUUGCUUUUACAGCUAUAACAGUCAGCAAAAUUAAUCAGCAGAUGAUCUACAACAGAAAAUUAACCAUUAUCAUAAUUAAUUAAUUGUUUAUGUCAAGGAAAAGUGGUGAAUUUGAACUCAUCCCAGCUGCUUAAAAGGCAAACAGCUUCAUCAAAGUCUUUACGAGGUUGUGAUCUGCAUUUCAUAAACCAAACAACUGAUUAAUACUUAAAACAACUAUUAUUAUUACUAUAGUUGAUUCAUUUGUCUGUUAUUUUCUUGAUUAACUGUCUAGUUGUUUGGUCUAUAAAAUAGUGGAAAUAGUGAUGAGAGCUUCCUAAAGCCCAAUAUGAAGUCAUCAAAUGUCUUGUUUGGGCCACAACCCAAAGAUAUUCAAUUUACUCUCACAAAGGAGGAAAGAAAUGAGAAAAUAUUUACUUUCAAGACACUCUUUCUUCAAAGAAUUACACUGACAGAUUAUCUGAUUAUCCAAAUUGUUGCUGCUUAAUUUAUUAGGUGACAACUACUCAAUUUAUUGUUGCUGCUGUAAUUGAAAUAGUAAUUUGGCCAAUUUAGGAUUAUCAUAUUUUUAGUGGUUGAGGCUCUGUGUUACUGAUCAGUGACCGCCAUGCUGCCACUCUUCACCCCUACAGGAUCUUCUGAGGGCCCCAAUAUCACCCUUGUUUUAAGGUUUUGCACGUUAUCUAAACUGUGGCAACUGCUGGAGCAUUUCAAUCAUGUAGAUCCACCAGCAAACAAUUCUGUCUGUGUCCUCAACAAAUUUCAUGGCUGUGGUAGUUUUAUUUCUGGAGGUAUUGAACCCUUAAAAUGACUUUUCAGGUUAGAUGUUUUCAUUUUGUUUCAAAAUUCUUGCAUCUGAAAACAUGAGAUUCUCAAAAUUCAACUAAAAACAUUUCACUGAACUUAUUUUUGGGUCCUGAAUAACAAAUAAGCCUAAAGAUGCUCCAGGGGCCACUUGUCAUGGCUGAUCCUGCACACUGACCCCAACCUCCUAACAAGCUGGGAUUUGCAAAACAAGAAAGAAA
Molecule: long non-coding RNA, 3749 nt
Organism: Stegastes partitus (bicolor damselfish)
Lineage: Eukaryota; Metazoa; Chordata; Actinopteri; Pomacentridae
Exons: 2
Source: RefSeq, a predicted model, not a curated record